This 69-nucleotide transfer RNA is filed under the name Hexanchus griseus. RNAcentral describes it as "tRNA-Pro". The record is from RNAcentral. Lineage: Eukaryota; Metazoa; Chordata; Chondrichthyes; Hexanchiformes; Hexanchidae.
AUGUACGUUGUACCUAAUAUCCACAGGGGACAGUUUAGGUAGAAUCUCAGCUUUGGGAGCUGAGGGCAA